ACGCUGGCGGCGUGCUUAACACAUGCAAGUUGGACGAGAAAGGCUGAAUUCGUUUGGCCGAGUAAAGUAGCGCACGGGUGAGUAACGCGUAGGCAACCUACCCUUGUAUUGGGGAUAACCCCGCGAAAGCGGGGCUAAUACCGGAUACGAUCCCACGAUGGUGGUUGUGGGAUGAAAGUCAGCCACUCGGAGAAGCUGACGUACGAGGAUGGGCCUGCGUCCUAUCAGCUAGUUGGUGGGGUAGCGGCCUACCAAGGCGACGACGGGUAGCUGGUCUGAGAGGAUGAUCAGCCACACUGGCACUGGAACACGGGCCAGACUCCUACGGGAGGCAGCAGUGAGGAAUUUUGCGCAAUGGCCGCAAGGCUGACGCAGCAACGCCGCGUGGGUGAUGAAGGCCUUCGGGUCGUAAAGCCCUGUCAGGUGGGAAGAAAGGCUUGAUUGGGAAUACCGGUUGAGUUUGACGGUACCACCAGAGGAAGCACCGGCUAACUCCGUGCCA
RNAcentral lists this ribosomal RNA (502 nucleotides) under anaerobic bacterium F1/P-2. RNAcentral describes it as "bacterial SSU rRNA". It matches the Rfam family "Bacterial small subunit ribosomal RNA", at positions 33 to 510 of the family's 1533-position model. The record is from RNAcentral.